This is a long non-coding RNA of Felis catus (domestic cat), 694 nucleotides long. RefSeq lists it as uncharacterized. The record is from RefSeq and is a predicted model, not a curated record. Lineage: Eukaryota; Metazoa; Chordata; Mammalia; Carnivora; Felidae. The transcript has 3 exons.
UUCUUUUCUUUUUGAAGUGGGCUCCGCCCCCAGCUUGGGGCUUGAACUCACGACUCAUACGAUCAGGAGUCACGUGCUCCACCGACUGAGCCGGCCAGGCGCUAAACCACCUGUCUCUAACAGAUGUUCUGCUGACCAUGUUAUUUCUGGCCCUGAAAACAGUCUUGCAGACAGUUACAAGUCACCCCGUCAUACACAGGAGCAAAGGGAGACCUGCCCGGGGGGUGGGCGUCCACGUACGGUAACAGUCACGAAAUUAAUAACGUGGACAACGCUAGUUGCAGCAAUGAUAUUAGCUCGUGUUUACUGAGCGCUCGCUGUUAUUUUGGGCUGUUCACCUGCGUCCUCGCUGAAAGCUCACAAGUACGCUUUGGGGUGGGCACUGGCGUUUUCUCAAUUUGCAGACGAGGACCCUGAGGCCCAGAGAAGUCAAGGCACUGGUCCAGAGUCACACAGCUGGAAGAGGGGGAGCCAGAAUCCAAAUCUCAAAGCCCCCGCUCGGGACCACUCAUCGUCACCUGGAUUUUGUCACGGGUCAAAGACUCGAGGUCCAGGGGUUCUUAGGCCCAGGCUUCACGGUCAGAGAGAGAGAGAGGCACAGCUAGUGUCUGAACCCGGCAAGUCUGAUGUCGUGAGAGAGACAGAGCAUGAGCAGGGGAGAGGCAGAGAGAGAGGGAGACACAGGAUCCGAAGC